GGAAAAUACAAAGGCUCAAGGCUUGUAUGAUGAUGCUGAAUUUUCUCUGCGUUGAACCCAGAGAAAUUUGAAUUUUCUCUAGUGAUAAUAACUGAUUCUUGGUUGCUCCAAUGGGUUGAUGAUUGAGUACUGAAACAGAAAUUCAAUGUAACAACAACACCACCAGUGUCCAAUAUCAACGCCUCUGGAUCGCCGCUCCUCAGACGGCUCGGCGACGCCAUUGAAGGUCGGAUCCGGUGAAGGUGGAGUUCAAUCGGUUGGAGAAUGAAGUCAGAGCUGAGGACACAAGAGUUGAUCUG
Molecule: non-coding RNA, 299 nt
Organism: Camellia sinensis
Lineage: Eukaryota; Viridiplantae; Streptophyta; Magnoliopsida; Ericales; Theaceae
Source: RefSeq, a predicted model, not a curated record